GAUGAACGCUGGCGGCGUGCCUAAUACAUGCAAGUCGAGCGAACAGACGAGGAGCUUGCUCCUCUGACGUUAGCGGCGGACGGGUGAGUAACACGUGGAUAACCUACCUAUAAGACUGGGAUAACUUCGGGAAACCGGAGCUAAUACCGGAUAAUAUAUUGAACCGCAUGGUUUAAUAGUGAAAGACGGUUUUGCUGUCACUUAUAGAUGGAUCCGCGCCGCAUUAGCUAGUUGGUAAGGUAACGGCUUACCAAGGCAGCGAUGCGUAGCCGACCUGAGAGGGUGAUCGGCCACACUGGAACUGAGACACGGUCCAGACUCCUACGGGAGGCAGCAGUAGGGAAUCUUCCGCAAUGGGCGAAAGCCUGACGGAGCAACGCCGCGUGAGUGAUGAAGGUCUUCGGAUCGUAAAACUCUGUUAUUAGGGAAGAACAAAUGUGUAAGUAACUAUGCACGUCUUGACGGUACCUAAUCAGAAAGCCACGGCUAACUACGUG
RNAcentral lists this ribosomal RNA (497 nucleotides) under uncultured bacterium. RNAcentral describes it as "partial 16S ribosomal RNA". It matches the Rfam family "Bacterial small subunit ribosomal RNA", at positions 28 to 507 of the family's 1533-position model. The record is from RNAcentral.